This 85-nucleotide transfer RNA is filed under the name Felis catus (domestic cat). It matches the Rfam family "tRNA". Rfam says of the family: Transfer RNA (tRNA) molecules are approximately 80 nucleotides in length. Their secondary structure includes four short double-helical elements and three loops (D, anti-codon, and T loops). The record is from Rfam by way of RNAcentral. Lineage: Eukaryota; Metazoa; Chordata; Mammalia; Carnivora; Felidae. RNAcentral also lists the same sequence under 2 other names.
GCCUGGGUGGCUCAGUCAGUUAAGUGUCUGACUUCAGCUCAGGUCAUGAUCUCAUGGUUCAUGGGUUCAAGCCCCGUGUCAGGCU